AAAGGAAUCUCACAAUAAACGCGUCAAGGAAGGCGGCUUCUUUCGUCUCUGUCUUCUGCUUCGGCUUUUCUCCUUUCGCUUGAUUUUCGUGUCGCCGGUAAGGCAAUUCGAUACCUCUGAACCCUAACGAGACGCAGCCACCGUUUAGGGUUUCGAUCAUCCAUUCAUUCUUCCUUGUUUCCUUUGCCUGAUUGCUUCCGUGUGGUUUCAUUUCCAUCUUACGUUUCAAUUCUGUUGAUUCUAUCGAGGAAGCGCUUGAGAAAAUUAUAUUUGAUUUUUGUCAUGUGCGUUUCUCUUGAUUAGGGUUUGUGAAUCUUUUAAAAAAAAUUGAAUUAUACGUUCUGUUAUUUUGGGGAGGGUUAGGGUUUCGAAAAUUUGGGAUUAUUGAGGAUUUCGGUUUGAAAUACAUUUUUCUUGGAUUCUAAAUUGCUUAUUGAGAGGAAUUGUGCUUGUGCUUGUCAAUCGAUGGCGGCAGGGCGAAAAAGUGUUCCGCUCAAAGGGGAAUUUUUCAAAUACAGUUCAACAAAGAGGUCCGAUCACUAUAAGAAUGGCUCUUUCGGCGUGGAAGAGGGUGGAUCUCGCAGCCAUCACUUUGCUCGUUCCCAUGAGCCUCGUGGUGGGAAAGAGGAGAGAGAGCAAGGUGAGAUCUGUGUUGAAGAUGAGGAAUAUGAGGUUGCUUUGCCACCGCCACAGAAGAAAAGGAAGUUUUCUCCAAUCGUAUGGGACCUAGCAGAGAAGGAAGAAAGAAUUUCGUCUGAGAGUAAGAUCUCGGAUACUGUUGCUCUGUCUCCUCCUCGUCCAUCUGUACUGAGCACUCCUGGAGCCAACGAUCCUGGUUCAGAUGUCCUUAUGGAUGAAUCUUUGCCAGAUUCUCGAAGCUAUAGACAGGAUGUGGAGGAAGAGAAGGAUGUGCAAGAAUGGACUAUCAGAAAGUCAAGAUGGGCUACUGAUGAUGGUCCCUCACCCAUGGCUGCUGAUGAUAAAUUCAAUCAUGUCAAAGGCAGCUCCAGUCCUGAAAUUGGUGAAUUCCAUCGCGGUGGAUCUUCAGAAAGCACCGUCACUAGAUCGUCAGGAAGCACGGGGAGAGAUCAAUAUCUUGGACUUUCUACUGAUGACGCCGAUUCUGAAAGGGAUUUCCAUAUAGACCCCGUGGUCGAUGUUGAGGGACCAAGUGACGUUGGUGAUUGUCCAUCGGAUUCUGAAGAGAGUGAUGGAUUGAAGCAAGUGCAGAGAAAUAUAAAUAUGCUUCACAGUUGCAGAAGUGUGUGCGAGUUUGAGAUGAUUAAGAAAAUAAAUGAAGGAACUUAUGGUGUUGUCUAUAAAGCUAGGGAUAAGAAAACUGGAGAAUUAGUCGCGUUGAAGAAGGUGAAGAUGAAUAUAGAGAGGGAUGGCUUUCCGAUGUCAUCCUUGAGGGAAAUAAACAUUCUCUUGUCUUUUAACCAUCCCUCCAUUGUGAAUGUUAAAGAAGUAGUUGUAGAUGAUUUUGACGGUACUUUUAUGGUAAUGGAAUACAUGGAGUAUGACCUCAAGGGAAUGAUGGAGGUUAAGAAACAGCCUUUUAGCAUUAGCGAAAUUAAAUCCUUGGUAAAGCAACUUCUCGAAGGUGUCAAGUAUCUUCAUGAUAACUGGGUUAUCCAUAGGGACUUGAAGUCAUCAAACAUUCUGCUGAACCAUGACGGGGAGCUUAAAAUAUGCGAUUUUGGGUUGUCGAGGCAGUAUGGAAGCCCUCUGAAGCCAUAUACUCCUGUUGUGGUUACACUGUGGUACAGAGCACCUGAACUUUUGUUGGGUGCUAAAGAAUAUUCAACAGCAAUUGACAUGUGGUCAGUGGGUUGCAUAAUGGCUGAAUUAAUUUCCAAGCAGCCUCUGUUCAGGGGUAAAAGUGAACUUGAACAACUUGAUCAGAUUUUUCGAACCCUGGGUACACCUGAUGAGAAAAUUUGGCCUGGAUUAUCCAAAUUACCUGGGGCUAAAGCAAAAUUUGUCAAGCAACCGUUUAAUAUGUUAAGGAAGAAGUUUCCAGCUGCAUCAUUUACCGGUUUUCCAGUUUUAUCGGAGCUGGGAUUUGACUUGUUGAAGAAGCUUUUAACUUAUGAUCCCGAAGAGAGGAUAACUGCUGAAGAUGCUCUCCUUCAUGAUUGGUUCUAUGAAGCCCCUCCUCCCAAAUCUGAUUUCAAGCCUAUUUUUCCUUCUUGGAGGUGCUAGGACAGGUGUUGGAUAUGUAGAAAAAUAAUCAAUAAUCAAUUCCCAGGGAUAUUCGUGGUCAGCAGGCGGCAGUGAUUGCAUUCUGGAAAAGGGGGUCACAAGGAAGCCGUGAGAUAUGGUGAAGAUUGUGGAGCUCUGCAAGGCAGAGGUAGAGGUAGGUAGGUGAUAUUUGUGCUCCCCUGGCUCUGCUUUUGGUGGGUCGUAUAUGAUGGUAAUUUGAUGAAAUUCAAUUAAAGGUAACAUAUUCCUUUAUUUAUUUAUUAUAGAGGAUGAAAAUUUCUUUGUAGUGAGGAGUUUUAAUUUACUUUGUUCGUCUCAAAUAUGACACGUUCUCACGGUGUAUACUGUCAGAUAUUAUAUCCAAGUAUUAACUGACCUCGCAAGCGCUGAACACUGUUCUCACGGUGUCUGAUUCACUCAAUCUUUUCCUCUGGAUUUUCAGUUCGAGGUGUAAAAUUGAGGAUGAUGAAGAUUUUAUUGAGUACUUUUGGAGAGAGGAGGAAAAAUAAUUUUGAAAUUAAUAGUUUGAUCCCUUAUUUCUUUUCAUAUUUAUAUUAUAUUUUUAACCUAAUAUUUACCUAUUUUAUUACACUUCAUUGUUUUUGUUUUAUUAGGUUAUUAUUUUGUAAUUUAUUUCUCAUUGCAUAUUCUGGUGAGUUUAAUUUUCUUUCUGCUGAUUUUUGGGUGGUGUUUUUCUCUAUCGUGGUUGUCCUUGAAAUGUUUAAAUUGACACUAUGUAUGAUGUCUUGCUUCAUAUAGUUUAGCUAUUGAGCAUGUUAAACGUCUUUUUAUAUUUCUGCAAAAUUAUUGUGAAUAAUACGACAGGUGACUAAAAUGGAUGGUUGUCUGGAAAGUGAAGAUUAAUGAACGGUUUUAAAAACAGGAAUUAAAAGUUUUUUGAUUAUAUUA
This is an RNA transcript of Vigna angularis (adzuki bean), 3114 nucleotides long. It is a transcript of the gene named cyclin-dependent kinase G-2, with no coding region annotated. The record is from RefSeq and is a predicted model, not a curated record. NCBI's taxonomy places the organism in Eukaryota, Viridiplantae, Streptophyta, Magnoliopsida, Fabales, Fabaceae. The transcript is spliced from 7 exons.